RNAcentral lists this long non-coding RNA (276 nucleotides) under Elaeis guineensis (African oil palm). RNAcentral's name for it is "long non-coding RNA (EGUI_LNC055505)". The record is from RNAcentral. Lineage: Eukaryota; Viridiplantae; Streptophyta; Magnoliopsida; Arecales; Arecaceae.
UUACCUUGAAAGUUAGAUGUUCUAACUUUGCUAAUCCAAACUUGAAGAUGAUGUUGCAAGCCACACAUGCAUCUGACCUCUAGGAGUCAUCCACACGAGCCCACGAAUCACGAUCAAAAGUCCUGGUCCAAGAAAUCAGCAUAGUAUGCUAGUACUGUGCUGAUUCUUCUUCGAUGGUCGAUCAGAUGCCUCUUUCUUCUUGAUUUAGACUCUUCCAAAGAUAAGAAAUAGGAGAAGAAGUUUUAGAUGUGAGAUACUCUUAGAAAACUCAUAGAU